RNAcentral lists this ribosomal RNA (253 nucleotides) under uncultured Oscillospira sp. RNAcentral describes it as "partial 16S ribosomal RNA". It matches the Rfam family "Bacterial small subunit ribosomal RNA", at positions 524 to 776 of the family's 1533-position model. Lineage: Bacteria; Bacillati; Bacillota; Clostridia; Eubacteriales; Oscillospiraceae. The record is from RNAcentral.
UACGUAGGUGGCAAGCGUUGUCCGGAUUUACUGGGUGUAAAGGGCGUGCAGCCGGAGAGACAAGUCAGAUGUGAAAUCCACAGGCUCAACCUGUGAACUGCAUUUGAAACUGUUUUUCUUGAGUACUGGAGAGGCAGACGGAAUUCCUCGUGUAGCGGUGAAAUGCGUAGAUAUGAGGAGGAACACCAGUGGCGAAGGCGGCCUGCUGGACGGUGACUGACGCUGAGGCUCGAAAGCGUGGGGAGCAAACAGG